RNAcentral lists this ribosomal RNA (586 nucleotides) under Parauronema longum. Its description in RNAcentral is "partial small subunit ribosomal RNA". The stretch from base 1 to 496 matches the Rfam family "Bacterial small subunit ribosomal RNA", at positions 918 to 1533 of the family's 1533-position model. The record is from RNAcentral. Lineage: Eukaryota; Ciliophora; Oligohymenophorea; Philasterida; Philasteridae.
GAAUUGUUCGAACGGUGGAACAUGUGGUUUAAUGCGAUAAUCCACGUAAAAUCUUACCAAUAUUUAAAAUUAAAUAGUAUUAAAUUAUUAAUAUCAUAUAUUAUAUAUAUUUAAUUUCGGUAUUGCAUGGCUGUCGUCAGUUCGUGUUGUGAAAUGUAAAAUUAAGUUUUAUUUACGAACGCAACCUAGGGUAUGUUUUAAUUUAAUUAUAGGUUUGCGCUUAAAUUCUAUUUUAACAUAUUUGUUAUAUUUUUAAUAUAAAAGGUUUUAGCUGAAGUCAAGUCCUUAUGGUCUUUAUAUAUUGGGCUACACACGUGUUACAAUGGUAAAAACAAAAAGUAACAAAUACGUAAGUAAGAGUAAAUCUUUAAAAAUUACCGAAGUUUGGAUUAUUUUAUGUAACUCUAAAAUAUGAAAAUGAAAUCGUUAGUAAUUAUAGGUUAGUAUACUAUAGUGAAUUAUAAGUCAAAUUUUGCACACACUGCCCAUCACGCUCGAAAAAUUUUAUAAAAUUUAAAAUAAAAUAAAAUAAAAAUUAAUUUUUUAAUUUAUUAGUUUUAUUUAUUGUAGUUUUGUGAAGUAAUUU